RNAcentral lists this unclassified non-coding RNA (250 nucleotides) under plant metagenome. RNAcentral describes it as "partial contains small subunit ribosomal RNA, internal transcribed spacer 1, and 5.8S ribosomal RNA". The record is from RNAcentral.
GUAGGUGAACCUGCGGAAGGAUCAUUAUAGUGUUCGCUGCCCUUCACGGGUAGCAAGCCUCACCCUUGCAUAUUCUAUCUUCGUUGCUUUGGCAUGCCACCUCUAGGUACUGGCUCUUCGCCGGCUCGCGCGUGUCAAAGGACCUAAAACUCGUAGUGUCAUUGUCGUCCGAGUACUAUAAAAUAGUUAAAACUUUUAACAACGGAUCUCUUGGUUCUGGCAUCGAUGAAGAACGCAGCAUCUGACUGAC